RNAcentral lists this ribosomal RNA (253 nucleotides) under uncultured bacterium. RNAcentral describes it as "partial 16S ribosomal RNA". It matches the Rfam family "Bacterial small subunit ribosomal RNA", at positions 524 to 776 of the family's 1533-position model. The record is from RNAcentral.
UACAUGGGGUGCAAACGUUGCUCGGAAUCAUUGGGCGUAAAGCGCACGUAGGCGGUUCGUUAUGUCGGAUGUGAAAGCCCUCGGCUUAACCGGGGAAGUGCAUCCGAAACUGGCGAGCUUGAGUACUAAAGAGGGUCGCGGAAUUCCCGGUGUAGAGGUGAAAUUCGUAGAUAUCGGGAGGAACACCAGCGGCGAAGGCGGCGACCUGGGUAGAUACUGACGCUGAGGUGCGAAAGCGUGGGGAGCGAACAGG